Molecule: transfer RNA, 66 nt
Filed under: Hapalochlaena fasciata
Lineage: Eukaryota; Metazoa; Mollusca; Cephalopoda; Octopoda; Octopodidae
Description: tRNA-Trp
Source: RNAcentral
AGAGUUUUAAGUUAAGAAAACUGUAGGUUUUCAAGACCUACAAUGAAUUAUAUUAUUUAAAUUCUG